UGUUGGAACAAAACGACGGGGAAACACCGAUAACAAAUGUGCUCGAGUUGUUUAACGAUCUGUACCACAGAUUCCGAUUGACAACUAAACCAACUAUGAAAGCAAUGUGCCUUCAGGCGAUGACUAAAGUUUAUGGAAAAUGUUAGGAAGAGAUUGGCGCUUUUAAUGAUACCAAGCUAAGGAUCAUCUGUUAUUGAUCCAGUGUUACUACAGGAGCCUGAACUAAACUAACUUUAUUCAUACUGUUUCGUAUUUUUGCACUUACAUGAAAAUGGCAUCACCCACAGGGAUUGGAAGCCAGAAAAUGUUUUAUUGUGUGCCUCGGAUGACGAAACUCUUAUAAAGUCAGAUGGAUCUCUCAGUCAUUUCUUAUUCCUGAGUGAACAAAUAGUAUUUCAGUGAAUUGCUAGAACAUACCUAAAGAACAGCUAUAAACUUCAAUUCUCAAAGAUAUG
This 455-nucleotide long non-coding RNA is filed under the name Dendronephthya gigantea. Its description in RNAcentral is "uncharacterized LOC114545003". The record is from RNAcentral. Lineage: Eukaryota; Metazoa; Cnidaria; Anthozoa; Malacalcyonacea; Nephtheidae.